CUGUUUCUGAUGGAGGGAAAAGUUGUUUUUGUGGAGCGAAUUUGAAAAGAGGGAUGGGUUGCGCCUUUCCCCAAAGGUGGGGGAAUGACUAUUCAGAUUACUCUUGUCUUUCUCUGGCUCCUCACCAGGUGGUGUUGGAAACAAAGAGCAGCUCAGGUUCACUUCUCUUGGCAGUAAGUGCUGAAGCCCAACGUUCCAUGUCACCAGAGAACCUUGCUGUUCUCAACCUCUUUUCACCUUAAAAAGAUGAAAGCCAAAAAUAACGAGAGGAGGCCCUUCUCUGCCUUUCAUUUUUUUAGUGCACCUCGGAGUGUCUUGAGAAUCACUUUCACUUGACUGACAGUCCUAAACCUCUUACAGCAGCCAAACUUUCUCUACCUAACCUCACAUGGUUUGGCCACACUCUUGACGCUCUUCAGACUGCACUGCUCCAUCCUGUCCCUUGCACCAGGCCCUUCCCACUCCUAUGUCCCCUCCACAGUAUGUUCUUUGUACACAAUCACACAACACCAGCAAUCAAGAUUAGCUCCCAGGAACCUCCUCUGAUGUGCCCUGUACCAGGAAGCACAGUGGAUUUACUGUAACUUUGAUGAUUGCUUGCUUGCUUUGUACCAGGCACUGUUUCUAAUGUUGUUUUAUGUGUUUUGUAUUUAAUCUUUAAAUCCUCCAACAGCCCCAUGAGAAAAUUAAGGCAGAGAAGUUCAGUGAUUUGCUGGAGGAAGCAAGGAAGUAGAGCAAGAAUUCAAAUCUAGGUGUUCUGGCUCUUAGCCACUCAGUUCUGCGGAAAAGUCCAGUGCAAAAGUCCAAGCGUCUGCUUACUUGUUUCAUCUUGUGAUCACAAGGACAAGAGAGCCAUGAAAGUAUCCAUUGUAUUGGCUCCAUCAUUGGCAAAGGAGAAAAAUUCAGCUCCGCACUAUGUACAUCUUUCCCACGAAGGAUGACCAAGUUAGCAAUGGAAGUGUUAAAAUGAGACUCCUUGUUGAGAGACAUUUUACCACGCGUAGGAAGUCCUGAUAAAGGAGGCCGUACCUGCCAAUCAAUACCUACCAAAAGAAAAAAAAGAGCAAGAGAUUUUACAAGUCGCCUUGAGCAAGAAGAGAAAGAUGUAUUAUAGUAUGUAUAUUUUAUAUAAAUUUCCAUUUGAUAAGUAAAAGUUGUGGCAGGGUGGGGUUCUUCUAAAAAUUUAAACAUUCUUAUCUGGUUGACCUAAAGUGAUUCAAACUACUCAGUCCUGAGAAAGGCAUGAAAUAGUCUUCAUCGAAUAUUAAAGGAUGGUGGUAGAUGCAAAGGAUGCAAUUCUACAACGCAGUAAAAAGAAAGUAACUUCUGACACACGUAACAAUGUGGAUCAAUAUCAGAAGCCUGAUGCUAAGUGAAGCAAGCCUGACUGAAAAGAUUACAUCCUGUUUGAUUCCAUUUACAGGACGUUCUGGAAAAGGCAAAACCAUAGGAAUAAAGUUCAGAUCAAUAGUUGCUUGGGGCUUGGAGUGGAGGAAAGACGCUGUCUACAAAGGGGUGUGAGGGAACUUUUUGGAAAAUGGAAACACUCUGUCUCAAU
Long non-coding RNA from Lagenorhynchus albirostris (white-beaked dolphin), 1558 nucleotides. RefSeq lists it as uncharacterized. The record is from RefSeq and is a predicted model, not a curated record. NCBI's taxonomy places the organism in Eukaryota, Metazoa, Chordata, Mammalia, Artiodactyla, Delphinidae. The transcript has 3 exons.